AUGAUAAAACUUGAUUCUUCCAAUUACUCAUUAUGGAAGCCCAUGAUGGAAGACAUCCUUUAUUGCAAGAAUUUGUAUGAGCCAAUUGUGAAAGACAAGAUACCCACAUGUGUCACGGAAGAAGAAUGGAGAGUGUUGCACAGAAAGGCAGUAGGUAUGAUUCGGUUGUACAUCAACCACAAUAUUUUUCACCAUGUUGCAAAUGACACAAAUGCUUAUGGGAUGUGGCAGAAGUUGGAGUCUAUGUAUGAGAGGAAGACAUCAAUGAUCAAGGCAGUACAAGUCAAAGUGGCGAGCAGCCAUCAAGUGAUGAUGAUGAUGAAGUUGGUAAUGAUGAUGCCAACGAAAAUCCACCUGAUUCGCCACCAGUGCAGCAGCGAAGAAGAAGUGAAAUAG
RNAcentral lists this ribosomal RNA (396 nucleotides) under Triticum aestivum (bread wheat). RNAcentral's name for it is "partial small subunit ribosomal RNA". The record is from RNAcentral. Lineage: Eukaryota; Viridiplantae; Streptophyta; Magnoliopsida; Poales; Poaceae.